UACGUAGGGUGCAGGCGUUAAUCGGAAUUACUGGGCGUAAAGCGUGCGCAGGCGGUUUCUUAAGUCAGAUGUGAAAGCCCCGGGCUCAACCUGGGAAUGGCCGUUGAAACUGGCGAACUGUAGUGUGGCAGAGGGGGGUGGAAUUCCGCGUGUAGCAGUGAAAUGCGUAGAGAUGCGGAGGAACACCGAUGGCGAAGGCAGCCCCCUGGGCUGACACUGACGCUCAGGCACGAAAGCGUGGGGAGCAAACAGG
Molecule: ribosomal RNA, 253 nt
Filed under: uncultured bacterium
Lineage: Bacteria
Description: partial 16S ribosomal RNA
Rfam family: Bacterial small subunit ribosomal RNA
Source: RNAcentral